RNAcentral lists this non-coding RNA (99 nucleotides) under Enterococcus dispar. RNAcentral describes it as "TPP sequence". It matches the Rfam family "TPP riboswitch aptamer (THI element)". From Rfam's summary of the family: Vitamin B(1) in its active form thiamin pyrophosphate (TPP) is an essential coenzyme that is synthesised by coupling of pyrimidine and thiazole moieties in bacteria. The previously detected thiamin-regulatory element, thi box was extended, resulting in a new, highly conserved RNA secondary structure, the THI element, which is widely distributed in eubacteria and also occurs in some archaea. Lineage: Bacteria; Bacillati; Bacillota; Bacilli; Lactobacillales; Enterococcaceae. RNAcentral also lists the same sequence under 1 other name. The record is from RNAcentral.
UCGUUCACAAAGGGGAGCCGUUUGGCUGAGAUUGUAGAUUACUAAACCCUUCGUACCUGUAUCGAUCAUUCGAACGUAGGAAUUGUGACAAGUCUGAAG